AUCCUUUUUUGGUUCAUAAGCGUGAUGAUUGGGGGUUCACGCCUUUGCGUGACUUGUGCCGCCCAUUUAAACCUUGUUACGACGUGGGCACAUUACCCGUCUGACG
Small nucleolar RNA from Phodopus roborovskii (desert hamster), 106 nucleotides. RefSeq annotates it as small nucleolar RNA U13. The record is from RefSeq and is a predicted model, not a curated record. Lineage: Eukaryota; Metazoa; Chordata; Mammalia; Rodentia; Cricetidae. The transcript has a single exon.